ACGGAUGUAGCUCAACUGGUAGAGCAGCGGUCUCCAAAACCGCCGGUUGGGGGUUCAAGUCCCUCCGUCCGUGCCA
RNAcentral lists this transfer RNA (76 nucleotides) under Mycolicibacterium goodii. Its description in RNAcentral is "tRNA-Trp". It matches the Rfam family "tRNA". Rfam says of the family: Transfer RNA (tRNA) molecules are approximately 80 nucleotides in length. Their secondary structure includes four short double-helical elements and three loops (D, anti-codon, and T loops). Lineage: Bacteria; Bacillati; Actinomycetota; Actinomycetes; Mycobacteriales; Mycobacteriaceae. The record is from RNAcentral. RNAcentral also lists the same sequence under 2 other names.